This 405-nucleotide unclassified non-coding RNA is filed under the name Hevea brasiliensis (rubber tree). The record is from RNAcentral. Lineage: Eukaryota; Viridiplantae; Streptophyta; Magnoliopsida; Malpighiales; Euphorbiaceae.
AACAACAUAUUAUAUAUAUUUUACAAAAGAUAACACUUAUAAUUUUUUUUUCCAAUGUCCAUAGCUAAAUUUGCUCUAGCCUAAAAUAAGAUGGGAUGGGUAUGGCCAUGUUGAACCCACUCCAUAUUUAACCUAUUGCCAUUCCUCCUAGAAACAUGAAAUCGCAUAGGUCAAAUUGACAAUCUAAAAAUAGAAAGGUGUUUUAUUUUAAUUACCAUUCCACCUCUCUAUUCUAAUUAUAAUUAAAUGUGAUUAUUCUCAUAACACCUUACCCCAAAUCAUUUGUUAUUCCAAACAUUAAGCGUCUAGUUUGAAACGAAGGAAGAAAAAAAAAUUUAACCAUAUGCUUUUGACCAAAUCAAUGUAAGGGAACUUGGUACAAAAGAACUAAAAAAAAAAAAAAAG